RNAcentral lists this ribosomal RNA (440 nucleotides) under Escherichia coli. Its description in RNAcentral is "bacterial SSU rRNA". It matches the Rfam family "Bacterial small subunit ribosomal RNA", at positions 338 to 795 of the family's 1533-position model. Lineage: Bacteria; Pseudomonadati; Pseudomonadota; Gammaproteobacteria; Enterobacterales; Enterobacteriaceae. The record is from RNAcentral.
CCUACGGGCGGCAGCAGUGGGGAAUAUUGGACAAUGGGGGCAACCCUGAUCCAGCAAUGCCGCGUGUGUGAAGAAGGUCUUCGGAUUGUAAAGCACUUUCGACGGGGACGAUGAUGACGGUACCCGUAGAAGAAGCCCCGGCUAACUUCGUGCCAGCAGCCGCGGUAAUACGAAGGGGGCUAGCGUUGCUCGGAAUGACUGGGCGUAAAGGGCGUGUAGGCGGUUUGUACAGUCAGAUGUGAAAUCCCCGGGCUUAACCUGGGAGCUGCAUUUGAUACGUGCAGACUAGAGUGUGAGAGAGGGUUGUGGAAUUCCCAGUGUAGAGGUGAAAUUCGUAGAUAUUGGGAAGAACACCGGUGGCGAAGGCGGCAACCUGGCUCAUUACUGACGCUGAGGCGCGAAAGCGUGGGGAGCAAACAGGAUUAGAUACCCGUGUAGUC